CAGCAGCCGCGGUAAUACGAAGGGGGCUAGCGUUGCUCGGAAUGACUGGGCGUAAAGGGCGCGUAGGCGGCGAUCAAAGUCAGGCGUGAAAUUCCUGGGCUCAACCUGGGGGCUGCGCUUGAUACUUGGUUGCUUGAGUGGGGAAGAGGGUCGUGGAAUUCCCAGUGUAGAGGUGAAAUUCGUAGAUAUUGGGAAGAACACCGGUGGCGAAGGCGGCGACCAGGUCCUUGACUGACGCUGAGGCGCGAAAGCGUGGGGAGCAAACAGGAUUAGAUACCCCUGUAGUCCCUGUCUCUUAUAC
Molecule: ribosomal RNA, 301 nt
Filed under: uncultured bacterium
Lineage: Bacteria
Description: partial 16S ribosomal RNA
Rfam family: Bacterial small subunit ribosomal RNA
Source: RNAcentral